GGCCAGUGCUGUGCUCCUGCAGAGGGUGGCAGUGUGGCUCCAUGCUCAGUCUCCGCGAUCCCUCUGCCGCUCCUGGCGCCGGAGAGCGGCGCGCAUCGUCCUGCCCUGGCCCGGCCCGGGGCUCUCUCUCCUUACAGACCCAUGGAAGAAGGCCUGAUCCAGACAGUCCCUCUGGAUGGACACAGUCAAAUUCUCUUCUGCUAUUAAUUGAGUGACAUCUGAUGGACAAUGCAUCAUCAUGCUGCUACUGGUUUCGUCUGUGGAUGCUCACUUAAUAAAGACCAAAUCACUUAACAGAGGGAGUCAUCCAAGAGGUUUGCUGUACAGAAGGGAAGAGUUUGGGGAAUCUAAAUUAAACAUUUGAACUUCAACUAUUCAGAGGAACCCAGAGAUGUGGGGAGGACUUGGCCUACUGUGUUGUGAAAACUGUCAAGUCUGAGGUGAUUGCAUGUAGGAUGAGUGGGCCAAGGAGCU
Molecule: long non-coding RNA, 474 nt
Organism: Hirundo rustica (Barn swallow)
Lineage: Eukaryota; Metazoa; Chordata; Aves; Passeriformes; Hirundinidae
Exons: 3
Source: RefSeq, a predicted model, not a curated record